GUCUUUGCCUUUUCUAGGACCACUCCCAUGGCAUAUGGAGGUUCCCAGGCUAGUGGUCGAAUCAGAGCUGUAGCCGCUGGCCUACGCCAGAGCCACAGCAACGUGGGAUCCGAGCCACGUCUGCGACCUAGACCACAGCUCACAGCAACGCCGAAUCCUUAACCCACUGAGCAAGGCCAGGAAUCAAACCCGCAACCUCAUGGUUCCUAGUCGGAUUCAUUAACCACUGUGCCACCAAGGGAACUCCAGUUUCAACACUUGCGAUGGCUCUCUUCCCUCUGGCUGCCAGCAGGCAGGUGGUUGGGGGGUGGGGUUAGCAGUGGCUGAUAGAUUAGCAUUUUCUUUUCACAGGGGCCUAGAGAACAGGGGAGGAAUUUGGAGAGGCUACAAAGAUAACUCAGGGCUGCUUUGAACAUCUGAACCAAAAGCACUUCUGAAGCCAAGAGGCCGGGCAGCAAUAUCGAUCCAUAAGUUCAUCAGAGCUGGAGCCUCAGACGCAGGAGGUACCGAGGGACCCAGGAUCUGAACUCCUCUGCAGAGGUCGUCAGAGAUCUCCCAGCCUACCCUUGCUGGGGACCAGACACAAAAAUCCCUCCCAAGAUAAAGAAUCAGCCUUCCGAGUCCUGAGUGGGCCCUGGUGUAGUCAGUAACAUCCAUGGGGUCAAUUCCAGGAAUAUCCCGCUUGUUCCCCAGACUGUCGGACCAUAGCCAGAGCUGCAUCGACAGAAAUCGCCCAGAGUGGGUGCCAGCUUGUACCCUUCCUUCUCACCAAGGUCCUCCCCAAGUUAGAGGGCUCGGAGCCGACACAACCACACCCUGCCAACAGCCUCACCCCUCCCCCUCUGGGUGUGAUACCCUGGGAACCUCGGGCUCCCAGGCUGUGGGAAAGAUGGGACUUGUUCACAGGCUCCUGCCGGAGAAACUGCACAGCACAGGGGUGUGCCUCCUGAAACCACUGCUCCACGUGGCCAAGAGGUCUCUCAAAAGCAGUGCCAUCCACGAAUGCAUACAGCAUGUGGGGCAUCUGCACACCCAGUCUCUAGCUCCCGCCAAGUGGCUGUCUGCUUUGGGAACAUCUGUGUAUCUCUAAGGAGGCAAGGUGACAAGUACCUGCCACAGAGCUAGCACCGUCAACAGAGGCCAAAGCCAUCUCUCCAAGCUCAUGCACAGAGUCAGGGGAGACGGGGACCGAACAUAGAAUGACUUGACACUGGGUCAGAGGGACCCCAAGUGCCCGAGGCUGGGGGGAGCGAGAGGUGAUAGCUCUGCAGCCUUUUGUCCUCACUGUCAGUCAGAGCCUUGGACCCACUGUCAAAGCCAGAAGCCCUCUUCCAGCAUCUGCAGAAACGCUGAAGCGUCACUUUUCCUGAGAACACAGGAAGAGAAGAAGGGUCCCCUUUAUGGUGUAGUCACACUACCCCCUGCUGGAGAGAGGGCAGCAUGACAACGCGACCUGCCCCGGCCCGCACUUGCAGACGUUUGUGAAGCGUCUAUGGCAGGCAAGGCACCAGGUAUACAGUAAGCACUCAAUACACAUUCAUCGUUGUUACCGCGGUUGUUUAGUCGCUGUCACUGUUGCCCGUGUUGUCAUCCAGUGAGCACCACGGAGGGCAGUGGGGGCCGAGAGAGGGAAGAAAGUGUCCACAAUGGACCUCAGAUGAGUGGGACUUAGAAAGGCGGAAAGGGGACCAGGAGCCAGAGCAGAGCCGGGCCAGAUCAGCAGAGGCCACAGGACGUGCUCCUCUUUCUGACUCUGCCCGGGGCUGUCAACCACCAGAAAGAGAGCUUCUGCACAUGGGAGCCCCAUGGGCAGGGCCCUUCCUCAAGGGUGAGGGGAAGAAGCCACCCACGUUUGCAAAACACCGUCGCGGCAACUGCACGUCCCACUCCUACAGACAACCUGGCCCCGACCAGCCCGAACGGGCACCAGUGCGGGCCGCCCAGCCCCUCCACCGCUUCCACCGGCUUACCCUCCACAAACUCGGCUGUUCCCCGCCCUACCAACAUGUGCUGAACUGAUCCAGCUUAAUUUCAGCUGUAGCAGACCAAAACCUGGAGUGAGCUAACACGACCUUGCUGUUUUCACCAGGGUAAGAAAAUGCCAAGAUAAGUAAUUGGCAGAGUUAAUCAUUUAACAACGCAAUAGACCUUGUAAUUAAAAAUAAGCUGAAGGAGGCCACAAAGUGAUACAGUAAUGUUUCAAGGGCCAAUUAUGGAAAAGCCCCCUCUCAUUGUGCUGGCAGAGCAAGAAGGGAGGAAGCAAACCCAUUAUGGCUCAGAGCAGUUCAUGCAUCCUGAAAACCCAGUGCUCGAAGUCUGGGCUGUCAGAAAGCUUUAGAUUCAUGUGGCCAAUACUGGCUCACAGCUUCAUGUAUUUUCCCUAUUUAUUGAUGGAUCUAUUUGUUGCUUUCUUUUUUGUUUUUGUUUUGCUUGCAUCAGAAACUGAAUUCCCCCUUCUCUCCCUGCCCUGACCCUCCUCCUCCCCUUCUGGUACGUUCCUAGAGAGUCCAAAGCACCAUUUCUAAUCUUAGGUCCCACAGCUCCUAUUGUGGCUCAGCAGGUUACGAACCUGACUAGUAUCCAUGAAGAUGCAGGUUCAAUCCCUGGCUUUGCUCAGUGGGUUAAGGAUCCAGCAUUGCCCUGAGCUGUGGUGUAGGUCACAGAUGCAGCUUAGAUCCUGCAUUGCUGUGGCUGUGGUGUAGGCCAGCAUCUGUAGCUCCGAUUUGACCCCUCGCCUGGGAACUUCUAUAUUCCAUGGGUGUGGUCCUAAAAAAAAAAAAAAAACUCCUAGGUUGCUUUACUUCUUGGGUCCCUUUUCUUGGCUGACCCUCGCACCUACUCCCCUGAGAAGGGAAGGGGGCCUUACCACCGUCCCAGGAUAUGGCAGCUGUGACCUCUGUCGCCCCCUAGCGGUGAUGCUGACCAGCUUCCCUCUGCUCCUCAGGGCAGGCUCCUGAGUCAACUUCAUUCCAACCACCGACACAGCACAUCACAGAGUCCACAGAUUUCUACCCAGAGAACCUCUCCGAAGCUGUUUUCUCCGGGCCUAAUUAUUUUCUUUUAUUUUUAAAUCAAUAUGUUUCCAUCGCAAUGAAUUCUGACCAUGGUCUCAUAGACUUUUUCUCCCUCACAAAAAAAAUUCUGUGUUUCCUCAAAAGUCUAAGCCUGCCCGUGGAGGGAUGCUGCGUAUGUGAACAGCAGCAUCCUGCCCAUGACAGUGGACAAAAGGGAAAAACAGCUGGGCAACCCAGUGGGAGGGGCAGAGGGAGAGAGGAUGGGGGAGCCCCGACAAGGAACGAAGGACUGGAAGCUUUAUUUACCAGUGUGGCCAAAAGAACCUCAAAACGACACCCAGCAGGUAAGAUGACCCUGCCUGGGGAGUUCCCUUGUGGUCUGGUGGUUGGGACACAGCCCUUUCACGGCUGGGGACCAGGUUCACUCUGGGCUCUGGAAACUGAGAUUGCACAUCAAUCUGCUACUGCAUGCCACCAAAAAAAGAUGCCUGGAGUUCCUGUCGUGGCUCAGUGGUUAAUGAAUCCAACUAGGAACCAUGAGGUUGCGGGUUCGAUCCCUGGCCUUGCUCAGUGGGUGAAGGAUCCGGCAUUGCCGUGGGCUCUGGUGUAGGUCACAGACUCGGCUUGGAUCCCGCGUUGCUGUGGCUCUGGCGUAGGCCGGUGGCUACAGCUCCGAUUCAACCCCUAGCCUGGGAACCUCCAUAUGCCACGGGAGCAGCCCUCAAAAAGGCAAAAAGAAAAAAAAAACAACUGUCUGCCCGCCUUCCUUUGUGCUAAGACUCCAGGCCCAUAAGACAGAAGGCUCCUAAGAACAUGAUCAAGGAAAGAAGUCAGAGAUGCAGAGCGGUAUUUGGGGUUUUAUUGGGGUUUUGGGGUGUUGCUUUUUUUUUUUUUGCUUUUUAGGGUUGUACCCGCGGCAUAUGGAGGUUCCCAGGCCAGGGGGCAAAUCGGAGCUAGCGGCCUACACCACAGCCACAGCAAUGCAGGAUCAGAGCUGCAUCUAUGACCUACCACAGCUCACAGCAACGCCGGAUCCCUAACCCACUGAGCAAACCCACAUCCUCAUAGAUACUAGUUGGAUUCAUUUCUGCGGAGCCACAAGGGGAACUCCCCAAACAAGUAUUUGUAAAACUAACAAACUAACAAAAAGGAAACCCAGAAAUCAUCUUUGGAAACAGGCAAUCUCUAGAGUCCUAGAACCAGAAGACCCCUCUGAAGACCCUUCAGAGACCUUCCUUUAACAGAAACUGGAUUGGUGAAAACACCAAGACUCUAUUUGAGGCUUGUGAAUUCAUUUACCCAAGGAACACACAGACCCACAGAAGUCCAUGCUGGCCAGCAGUCUCCCUGCUCCAGAGUGAAAUGUGCAGCACCUAGAAUAGAAAUUUCCCUUUUCUACUGACGAGAAGCCCGCUACAGAUUAAGGAUGCCAGGAGGGCAAGAACAGAGGGUCGAAUCCCAGGAGUAUCCCAGGGAUGGAGACCAAAGUCCAUACCUAAUCCGAUGUGUGGGGCGGGGCACCUCAAGCUCAACCAUCUCUGUCUAAGAGAAAAGAGAAAGAAGAGGGAAAUCAGGAGUUAGCAGUCCUCAAGAAAAGCCAGAGCCCAUUCAUGCCUUCAACUGCGGAAACACAACCGGCUAUGGGCUCUUGAGAGAGCCUGUGUUGGGUGGGUUAGACAAGGCCCAAGGUCCCCCGCAAGGCAGUGCCUCAGCCUCUAAAACAAAAUCUCUGUAUUUCCUUUCCAGAAAAUAAAUUCAAUGUACACGUUCUUUUAUUCAAAUAGAAGUAUGGAAAAGAUGGGUUCAUUUCAAUUUGUUCCUCGAUUUUCUUUGGAACCAAGAUUUGACCCCGUCCUUAUCCCUGAUGAAUCUUCCCCUCACCCUGUAUCCCCAGAACCCCAGGGUCUGGCUCAGUGCAGGCAGACAUCAAAAGUCUAGUGAAUGAAUGAGCUGCCUGUGGGCUCCUAGAACAGUGUGAGAUGCCAAGCUUUAUAUUCCUGUAUAGGCAUAGCAUGUCUCAGAAUAACUCCUCUGUUUUAGUGUUGGACUUGGCUGUGCCUCCUUCCUAAUGGGCUGAAAAACAGCCCUUGUGUGUCCGCCUCUGCUGGAACAUGGUUUACUACAUGGCAUGCUGCCUGCAGCCCCAAGGCCUGGAAAGCGAUCCAUAUUCUAAUGACUUACAGCAGCAAAGAAACCAGAUAGAUCUUUGAAGGUGCUGUGCUCCCCUCCACCCUCAACCAGGCAACAGGGCAACCUUAACUUCCUUGCUGCAAAAGAGCAGGCUACUAGAGGCAGAACUGAGUUUUUAAGGUGAAUUGAACACACUCGUUAUCUGUGGGCAACAAGAAGGUGAAUGACUUCCAAGAUCCAAGAGACUCUUGCCAUCAGUGCUCACACAGCCCAAGGCCCUCUUCUGGAAGUACAUUAAGGAUGGAGGAAGAAGACAUCGCAUCUCUGCUCUUGUAGAGGCUAGUGAGUGAGUGUCCUCUUGCACAGAGAGACCUGACAAAGGCAGGGAUCAGAGAGAGUGGCUCGCUCUGCCUGACAUCUGUCUCAACAUCUUUGCCAACACAUAACCCAUUUCAUGCAGAAAGAGAGAAACUGCCGCCUCUAACAAUGAUGCGG
This 5639-nucleotide long non-coding RNA is filed under the name Sus scrofa (pig). RNAcentral describes it as "lncRNA (ENSSSCG00015021756.1)". Lineage: Eukaryota; Metazoa; Chordata; Mammalia; Artiodactyla; Suidae. The record is from RNAcentral.